GACCCCGCAGGCCCAGACUGGCACCAGGUCCCAGACUGGCCCGCCCCUCCUGGCGGGCCCUGGGGUGGGCCCGCCUUUCCCUCCGCCAAGACCCAGCCCAGAAACCCCCACGACCUCCUCCGGGCUCUCGGCCCUGUUUGGCCUCUGCUCUCGGCUCCCAGGAGGCUGCCUGGGCCCUCUGCCCACCCCUCACGCGCCGCUGGCACCAGCAGAGCCUCCUGCUUCUCUUUCUGUGAUGCCGCCUCGGUUGGAGCAACCAGACUGGGUCCCGGUCCAGAGCGAGGGCAGGUAAGGAAGGGGGGAAGGCAUCAGGAGAGUGAGCGGGAGAGGGAGGGCGUGCCCACUGGACCCCCCUAUGCAGGACAGGACCAGGCUAAGCAGUGGUGCCCGGCCCCUUCCUUGAAGCUGCCCCGAUUUGCUGUCUGCCCACCACUCAGGGCCUGUCCCCUGGGUCUGUCCAUCCAUCAGAGUGACAGAGUACCCCCACCCAGCAGGGCUGUGAAGUCCCCCAGGGGCUCAGGCCUUGACUGUCCAGCCUGGCUAAAGCUCGUGGAGUCCCUCUGCCCCAGGGCACCAGACAAACGUUCAGAAGUGCUGAAUGCAGGGGCUCCGCAGAGCUGGGAGGCGAGGCCCUGUGGAGCAAGGUCGUGCGCAGGCCCCGGGGAACGUGGCUGCCUCCGUGUCCCCCGCGGAGCCUCCGCGGAAGCUGGACUGCUUCCCUGGUUGCUGUGGCCCCGGCGUCAGAUCCCGGAACCCAGAACAGGAAGCCCCCAGCGGGCUCCAACCCGGGCCCCUGAGGUCUGGACGGAGCAUGGUCUACUCUCAGGACGCCCGGUCAGUGCCUCCGUGGCCUGUGCACCCACAGUGCAGGGCUCCUCCGACGGCCCAGCGGUGGCUCUGCUGGGCAGGCAGCCCUCACCUGGGCCUGGCCCCUGCGGCAGCGCUUGUGGUUGCACUUAUUCUGCCCGCCUGCCGACUCAGGGGCUGAGGAGACCCCCAGCAAGCACCCCUUGCUUAUGCGCAUGGAGACUGCACAACAGGACCCUUGGUGCUGACUCGCAGAGGAAAUGCUUAUUCCAGAGGGUCGGGAAGGACAAGAGCCCGUGUGUGCACGUGUGCACGUGA
RNAcentral lists this long non-coding RNA (1125 nucleotides) under Capra hircus (goat). RNAcentral's name for it is "lncRNA (ENSCHIG00010003337.1)". The record is from RNAcentral. Lineage: Eukaryota; Metazoa; Chordata; Mammalia; Artiodactyla; Bovidae.